UUUUUUUUUUUUGUGGUUAUAAUAUGGAAUUCUUUGUCUAAUGUAAUGUACACUUGACAGUUGGUUUGUGUGUUGAUAAGUGAUAACAUCUUAUAUCUAUUUAUAUAUAUAUAAAGCUAGGAAUAGAAAAUAUGAUGUGGCACGUCUUAUUGCUCAAGGAAGUGGUUUAUCUUUUUUCUCCUUUUUAAAUCCAAAUUCUCUUAUCUAGGUAGACAUAUUAUAUUUUACCUAUUAUCAUUGAAAGGAAUAUGAAACUGAUGCUUUUGUUAAUCUCAUUUAUUACAUCGCAUCAUUAUCUCUCAAUGAAUAACAUACAUCAGUUAUAAAGAACUUUUCACCUAUUGGUUUUCCUCAAUUAAACAAAUUUCCAUGGCUUGAUCUGUCUCUAUAUAAUAAUCCAAUAAUGGUUGCUACCUUUGCAAGUUGUAACCUUUAAGUUUCAUAUUUAUGGAGAAAAAAAAAACUACUACAAUCUCCUGUAGUGAGCAGAGACUUAUCUACAAAUAUAGGCUCCCUUCCUGUCAUAAAACACAACUUCCAAGCAAUGGUUCUUCCGGCCAGAAGAUGAAUGGAGUCAACACAACGUUAAGAGGCUCAUUGUACAUCUCUUUGGGUUAACCGAAGCAUUUCUUCUAUUGUGCUACAAAAGAAUGUGGUAGUGCAAGAAAUUUAAAAGUUUUUUAUUACUCUAGGUUCUAGUUCGGAGAAAUAUAUUUUUGUAAAGAUUGGAGAAACACAUAAACAUUAUUACACUUAUGUAAGAUGAUGUGUCAUUCUUUUAGGCCAAGGAUAUUGAAUUUAUCUUUUUUCUCCUU
This is a non-coding RNA of Nicotiana tabacum (common tobacco), 815 nucleotides long. NCBI's taxonomy places the organism in Eukaryota, Viridiplantae, Streptophyta, Magnoliopsida, Solanales, Solanaceae. The record is from RefSeq and is a predicted model, not a curated record.